RNAcentral lists this long non-coding RNA (238 nucleotides) under Durio zibethinus. RNAcentral's name for it is "long non-coding RNA (DZIB_LNC001746)". The record is from RNAcentral. Lineage: Eukaryota; Viridiplantae; Streptophyta; Magnoliopsida; Malvales; Malvaceae.
GAAUUCUAAAGUUGAGAAAAGUUUGCUGUUUUGCCUUUUAUAAAUCUGUUUGAUAAGAAAUUAUUUCUUUGAUCUGCUCCAGGAUUUGUGUACCCUUCUGCAAAAUCCAUGAACUUAAAAUUUAAGAUCACUCUUGUGUAAAAGCUCUCCCUGGUGCUUAUGUUAUAAUGUUAAUGUUAUUACUUGCCUUUGAGGGUACUAAUUAUUUACUUUGAGUAGUUUCAUAUAUUGACAUAAA